UCAAAAACGAUGAUGGAACAAAGAUUCUGGAAGUCUUCAGAGAGCCGGUGGUUGGUGCAAACCGGUGACAAACAGAUGUCUUUAGCGCUCCUGAGAUAUUGUAUCGAACCUUAAAGUAGGUGCAAUCGGAUCAACUCCGUUACCAGUGUGGCCUUUGCAGGCCAAUGAGGCUGCUUCUUCCAAGUUGCAGUGAAUUAGGGUGGUACCACGAAGAUAACUCUCGUCCCUUAC
Molecule: non-coding RNA, 231 nt
Filed under: Paenibacillus sp.
Lineage: Bacteria; Bacillati; Bacillota; Bacilli; Caryophanales; Paenibacillaceae
Description: T-box sequence
Rfam family: T-box leader
About the family: Uncharged tRNA acts as the effector for transcription antitermination of genes in the T-box leader family.
Source: RNAcentral